Molecule: small RNA, 28 nt
Filed under: Bombyx mori (domestic silkworm)
Lineage: Eukaryota; Metazoa; Arthropoda; Insecta; Lepidoptera; Bombycidae
Description: piRNA piR-bmo-1711139
Source: RNAcentral
UACAACUGCGGAAUUGACUUUGUUAGCC